GACGAACGCUGGCGGCGUGCCUAAUACAUGCAAGUCGAACGAACCGCGACUGAGUGCUUGCACUUGGUCAAGGUGAGUGGCGAACGGGUGAGUAACACGUGGGUAACCUACCUCAUAGUGGGGGAUAACAGUCGGAAACGACUGCUAAUACCGCAUAGGACAUAGGAUCACAUGAUCCAGUGAGGAAAGGUGGCGCAAGCUAUCGCUACGAGAUGGACCCGCGGUGCAUUAGCUAGUUGGUAGGGUAAAGGCCUACCAAGGCGAUGAUGCAUAGCCGACCUGAGAGGGUGAUCGGCCACACUGGGACUGAGACACGGCCCAAACUCCUACGGGAGGCAGCAGUAGGGAAUCUUCCGCAAUGGACGCAAGUCUGACGGAGCAACGCCGCGUGAGUGAAGAAGGUCUUCGGAUCGUAAAGCUCUGUUGUUAGAGAAGAACAGCGCAUAGAGUAACUGCUAUGCGUGUGACGGUAUCUAACCAGAAAGCCACGGCUAACUACGUG
Molecule: ribosomal RNA, 502 nt
Filed under: uncultured bacterium
Lineage: Bacteria
Description: partial 16S ribosomal RNA
Rfam family: Bacterial small subunit ribosomal RNA
Source: RNAcentral